UAGCGGCGAGUGAAGCGGCAAAAGCUCAAAUUUGAAAUCUGGCACCUUCGGUGUCCGAGUUGUAAUUUGAAGAUUGUAACCUUGGGGUUGGCUCUUGUCUAUGUUUCUUGGAACAGGACGUCACAGAGGGUGAGAAUCCCGUGCGAUGAGAUGCCCAAUCCUAUGUAAGGUGCUUUCGAAGAGUCGAGUUGUUUGGGAAUGCAGCUCUAAGUGGGUGGUAAAUUCCAUCUAAAGCUAAAUAUUGGCGAGAGACCGAUAGCGAACAAGUACAGUGAUGGAAAGAUGA
This 286-nucleotide ribosomal RNA is filed under the name Meyerozyma caribbica. RNAcentral describes it as "partial 28S ribosomal RNA". It matches the Rfam family "Eukaryotic large subunit ribosomal RNA", at positions 84 to 367 of the family's 3401-position model. Lineage: Eukaryota; Fungi; Ascomycota; Pichiomycetes; Serinales; Debaryomycetaceae. The record is from RNAcentral.